CCUACGGGUGGCAGUAGUGGGGAAUAUUGCACAAUGGGGGAAACCCUGAUGCAGCGACGCCGCGUGAGUGAAGAAGUAAUUCGUUACGUAAAGCUCUAUCAGCAGGGAAGCAAAUGACGGUACCUGAGUAAGAAGCCCCGGCUAACUACGUGCCAGCAGCCGCGGUAAUACGUAGGGGGCAAGCGUUAUCCGGAUUACUGGGUGGAAAGGGAGGGGAGACGGGUCGCCAAGUCUGGAGUGAAAAGACGCAGCUUAACCGCGGAACCGGCUUGGAAACUGGCGAACUAGAGUGCGGGAGGGGUAAGCGGAAUUCCUAGUGUAGCGGUGAAAUGCGUAGAUAUUAGGAGGAACACCGGUGGCGAAGGCGGCUUACUGGACCGUAACUGACGUUGAGGCUCGAAAGCGUGGGGAGCAAACAGGAGUAGAUACCCCAGUAGUC
This 439-nucleotide ribosomal RNA is filed under the name uncultured bacterium. RNAcentral's name for it is "partial 16S ribosomal RNA". It matches the Rfam family "Bacterial small subunit ribosomal RNA", at positions 338 to 795 of the family's 1533-position model. The record is from RNAcentral.